UUUUGGACAAUGGGCGAAAGCCUGAUCCAGCAAUGCCGCGUGCAGGAAGAAGGCCUUCGGGUUGUAAACUGCUUUUGUCCCCCCCCGAAACGGCCUUUUUUAAUAAAGAGGGCUAAUGACGGUACCGUAAGAAUAAGCACCGGCUAACUACGUGCCAGCAGCCGCGGUAAUACGUAGGGUGCGAGCGUUAAUCGGAAUUACUGGGCGUAAAGCGUGCGCAGGCGGUUCUAUGAGACAGAUGUGAAAUCCCCGGGCUCACCCCUCGGCCCUCGCAUUUGUGACUGUAGAGCUAGAGUACGGUAGAGGGGGAUGGAAUUCCGCGUGUAGCAGUGAAAUGCGUAGAUAUGCGGAGGAACACCGAUGGCGAAGGCAAUCCCCUGGACCUGUACUGACGCUCAUGCACGAAA
This 407-nucleotide ribosomal RNA is filed under the name uncultured bacterium. RNAcentral describes it as "bacterial SSU rRNA". It matches the Rfam family "Bacterial small subunit ribosomal RNA", at positions 362 to 758 of the family's 1533-position model. The record is from RNAcentral.